GACAGAGUUUGAUCAUGGCUCAGAGCGAACGCUGGCGGCAGGCCUAACACAUGCAAGUCGAGCGGCCGUAGCAAUACGGCAGCGGCAGACGGGAGAGUAACACGUGGGAACGCGCCCUUCGGUUCGGAAUAACUCAGGGAAACUUGAGCUAAUACCGGAUACGCCCUUACGGGGAAAGAUUUAUUGCCGAAGGAACGGCCCGCGUCCGAUUAGCUAGUUGGUGAGGUAAUGGCUCACCAAGGCGACGAUCGGUAGCUGGUCUGAGAGGAUGACCAGCCUCACUGGGACUGAGACACGGCCCAGACUCCUACGGGAGGCAGCAGUGGGGAAUAUUGGACAAUGGGCGCAAGCCUGAUCCAGCCAUGCCGCGUGGAUGAUGAAGGCCUUAGGGUUGUAAAGUCCUUUUAACGGGGAAGAUAAUGACGGUACCCGUAGAAUAAGCCCCGGCUAACUUCGUGCCAGCAGCCGCGGUAAUAACCUAAAUAGC
This 487-nucleotide ribosomal RNA is filed under the name uncultured bacterium. RNAcentral describes it as "bacterial SSU rRNA". It matches the Rfam family "Bacterial small subunit ribosomal RNA", at positions 1 to 535 of the family's 1533-position model. The record is from RNAcentral.